UUAUCUGACUAGGUGCGGCGCGACUAGGACGUGGACUGUGAUUUUGAAUUAUCGAAGUUAAAUUUUCAAGUCAAGUUAAGGUAACUGAUGUUGGAGACGCGUGGAGGGUCGAAUGGGCGCGUCGAAUCUUUUUGAGUCAAAAGAAAUUAUCUUCUUUUGAACCUUGUACAGUAUCAGAUACUUUUGUUUUAGUAAUAGCGUUGGAUUUUCAAACUGUUUUCCAGGUCAUGUUUGACUUUGUACGUUAUAGUAUCGUUGUGUUAUGUAUAUAUUAGGGUUUGAUAUUUUUGAAGUUAUAAAAAAUUAUUGAUUAUACGAU
This is a long non-coding RNA of Salvia miltiorrhiza (redroot sage), 319 nucleotides long. RefSeq lists it as uncharacterized. The transcript is spliced from 2 exons. NCBI's taxonomy places the organism in Eukaryota, Viridiplantae, Streptophyta, Magnoliopsida, Lamiales, Lamiaceae. The record is from RefSeq and is a predicted model, not a curated record.